UCGAUGUAUUAAUGUGGGAUUAGUAAAUUGGUUUUUAAUUAUGCUUCACGGGUAUGGAAUAAAGGUCGAGUUUUAUUUUUACUUGGAUGGGUAAUCAUAUUUGCUCAACGUGAUUAUGUUAAUUAAACGCAAUUUGGUUAAUUCUAUAAAAGUUGUGGAAAAUUAAUUAAAUUAUUAGGUUAGAGAGAUAACUGAAGAAUUGCGUGUUGGUAUUAGUAGUACUGGAGAAAAAUAGAUUUCAACCCCAAAA
Molecule: long non-coding RNA, 250 nt
Filed under: Brassica napus (rape)
Lineage: Eukaryota; Viridiplantae; Streptophyta; Magnoliopsida; Brassicales; Brassicaceae
Description: long non-coding RNA (BNAP_LNC018579)
Source: RNAcentral